Long non-coding RNA from Trifolium pratense (red clover), 2063 nucleotides. RefSeq lists it as uncharacterized. The record is from RefSeq and is a predicted model, not a curated record. NCBI's taxonomy places the organism in Eukaryota, Viridiplantae, Streptophyta, Magnoliopsida, Fabales, Fabaceae. The transcript is spliced from 3 exons.
UAACAAGAAACAACUAUAAAACAACUAAACAACUAGGCUAUAUGAAGAGAAAAAAAUGGAAGAAAGAAAAAUAUUGGUCAGGAAAAGCUUCUGCAUGCCAUCGAAGGAUGAAGAUGAAUAGAGGCUGCUUUAGGAAAAGCUUCAAGAAAGGUUAGGGUUUGUUUUGUUAAGAAAAGUUCAUAAAUUUAAUAGAAUCAUAUAAAUGCCUACCUACUGUUUGAUGUAUGUUGUGUGUGAAAAAUUCAAAUAGUUUUAACAAUAUUAUUGAUGGAAAUGUGUAUCCUGAAAAGCUAUAUCUGACAUACCCAAGAGGGUUCUUUCGUUAGAUACAUACGAGGAUAAUUGAACCAUAGGGGAAAGAGACCUUGGUAAUUCGGAGUUCGGUCAAAAGGUAAGUAAAGUUCCGGUCAUGAUUUGAACUUGGAUUCUCCAGAACGAAUUCUGCAUCUUUAUUUUAUAAAAGAUGCAUCUUUAUUUUCUGAAAGAUUUUACUAUGAUUAACUAUGUGCAAGUCUAUGAAUUCUGAAGGGAUUUUGUAUGGUAUGUUUCUUUGUGCAACUUGAGUUUUUCACAAAACGCUAUUCAUGUAUGUUCUACUAAUUAUGUCUAAUAAUUUAAUAGGGUAAAGAUCUAUUUGAUAAUAUAAUAUUUAAAGCACACUUUAUUGCUCUAUAAACUACAAUUAGAAAUUAGAGCAAAAAGUUCACUGUGAAAUGUUUUACUGCCCAAUGAUGGAUAAAUACACUAUUGAGUGGCUACUUGGUUUUGUUCAUAGCCUGACCUGCACCAUUGCAUUCUUUCUCUCUUCAUCUCUCUCGGUCCCUCUCACUCGAUACAUAUGCAUGCAUGUUUAUUUAUUUAUUUAUUUUAGAUGGUGCACAAAGGCUCUAAACAAAACCAGUGUAAUAAGCUGCAUAUGAUUUAUUAGCUAUGAGAUCUGAGGGCUCUGCAAUUUUGUGAGAAUAUAAAUUUUCACUUUCACCACUUAUGUAUAUAGAAAUGUUGCUUGCUUUUGUAUCUUCAUUUCAAAAUUUAAAUAUUACGGAAAUGCUAUAUUUGUUCAUUCAUGUCUUAUUCAAAACCAUGAUGUUGAGCAGGAUGAGUAUAUUUGAAUGUAGUACAAUCAUUUCAACUCUUUGUCCUUCUAUUAUUGAAAUUGAAAAAAAUAGUUUGGAAAUGGUUUCACGGUUUGGUUUUGGAUUACAAGUAUAGGUUCAUGUUAAUGUCUAUGUAUUAAUGUAUUAUGCUUUCUUUAUUUUCACCAAGUUCAUAUAUUUUUAUUGCAUUCCUAUUUUGCUUCCCAUUUCCAUGUCUGGCUUCAGAACAUGUUGUCCACAUGUUAAAUCUAUUUGUUCUGCAACAUUUUUGUUUGCGUGUAUUCCAAUUUAUAGUCAUUGUUUCUUAAUAGCUGUGUUUUCGGUGAUAUUAUUUUUAUGUUACUUUGUUUAAUGAUUAAUCUGGUGUUUAACUUGAUUUGACUUUGAUGCGUUAUAUUGCAUCAUCUAUCGUUUAUGGAGGCUUUUAACACACCGACUUUUAACACUCCUGUGCUUUAAGCUUGUGACAUCAAAAUAUUUUCUCACAAAACCUGAAACUAAGUUUGACAACUAUUGGGUUUAUGGAGGCAAUAGCAGAUCCGGCGCCAGACAUGACCAUCUAGGUGAAAGCAAAAAGAAUGUUGGAAAAUCACCUAAAAGUUGAAAAGCACCUUGGAAUGUGGCAGAGGGAGUCCUGCAGUAGCUGACACUGAAAAUGGUGGCCGGAGAGAAGCUCAUGUGCGGAUCUGGGAGUUGAGGACCCACUUGCAGGAAAGGCAGAGGCACGCACGCAGAAGCGCGUGUCGAUAUGUUGUUACGCGUACAAUUAUGGAGUACCAUUUUAAGUGCUAAUGUGAAGUACCACUCUAAAGUAGUAAUCUGAACCUUUUUUUUUUUAAGAAGCUAAAUUAGCCCACCCAAAUUGGCACCAGAGAGAAUCGAAACUCAGAACUCAAGAGGAGCACACUUCUAGGUCCCAAGUCAAUACCAAUGCACCAACUCAAGUGGGUUUACUAAUCUGAACCU